AUGGGCGGCGUGCCUAAUACAUGCAAGUCGAGCGAAUGGAUUGAGAGCUUGCUCUCAAGAAGUUAGCGGCGGACGGGUGAGUAACACGUGGGUAACCUGCCCAUAAGACUGGGAUAACUCCGGGAAACCGGGGCUAAUACCGGAUAAUAUUUUGAACUGCAUGGUUCGAAAUUGAAAGGCGGCUUCGGCUGUCACUUAUGGAUGGACCCGCGUCGCAUUAGCUAGUUGGUGAGGUAACGGCUCACCAAGGCAACGAUGCGUAGCCGACCUGAGAGGGUGAUCGGCCACACUGGGACUGAGACACGGCCCAGACUCCUACGGGAGGCAGCAGUAGGGAAUCUUCCGCAAUGGACGAAAGUCUGACGGAGCAACGCCGCGUGAGUGAUGAAGGCUUUCGGGUCGUAAAACUCUGUUGUUAGGGAAGAACAAGUGCUAGUUGAAUAAGCUGGCACCUUGACGGUACCUAAAACAGAAAGCC
RNAcentral lists this ribosomal RNA (478 nucleotides) under Bacillus anthracis (anthrax bacterium). RNAcentral describes it as "bacterial SSU rRNA". It matches the Rfam family "Bacterial small subunit ribosomal RNA", at positions 38 to 492 of the family's 1533-position model. The record is from RNAcentral. Lineage: Bacteria; Bacillati; Bacillota; Bacilli; Caryophanales; Bacillaceae.